Molecule: unclassified non-coding RNA, 92 nt
Organism: Bison bison bison
Lineage: Eukaryota; Metazoa; Chordata; Mammalia; Artiodactyla; Bovidae
Source: Ensembl
AGACGCUACAGAAUGAAUCUUGGCGGAGGGGUCCCUGCUGGGGCUCAAAGGGAACCACGUGUCGACAGGCACAACCUUCAGCUUCCUGACCU